GAAAUGCGCUGCUACCAUGCAAGUCGAGCGGUAACAGAGAUAGCUUGCUAUCUGCUGACGAGCGGCGGACGGGUGAGUAAUGCUUGGGAAUAUGCCUUUGAGUGGGGGACAACAGUUGGAAACGACUGCUAAUACCGCAUAACGUCUACGGACCAAAGGGGGGGAUCUUCGGACCUCUCGCUCAUUGAUUAGCCCAAGUGAGAUUAGCUAGUUGGUAAGGUAAUGGCUUACCAAGGCGACGAUCUCUAGCUGGUUUGAGAGGAUGAUCAGCCACACUGGGACUGAGACACGGCCCAGACUCCUACGGGAGGCAGCAGUGGGGAAUAUUGCACAAUGGGCGAAAGCCUGAUGCAGCCAUGCCGCGUGUGUGAAGAAGGCCUUCGGGUUGUAAAGCACUUUCAGCGAGGAGGAAAGGGAUGUAGUUAAUAACUGCAUUCUGUGACGUUACUCGCAGAAGAAGCACCGGCUAACUUCGUGCCAGCAGCCGCGGUAAUACGAGGGGUGCAAGCGUUAAUCGGAAUUACUGGGCGUAAAGCGUGCGUAGGUGGUUUGUUAAGCAAGAUGUGAAAGCCCUGGGCUCAACCUGGGAACUGCAUUUUGAACUGGCAAGCUAGAGUUUUGUAGAGGGUAGUGGAAUUUCCAGUGUAGCGGUGAAAUGCGUAGAGAUUGGAAGGAACAUCAGUGGCGAAGGCGGCUACCUGGACAAAGACUGACACUGAGGCACGAAAGCGUGGGGAGCAAACAGGAUUAGAUACCCUGGUAGUCCACGCCGUAAACGAUGUCAACUAGCCGUCUGUGGUCUUGAACCGUGGGUGGCGUAGCUAACGCGCUAAGUUGACCGCCUGGGGAGUACGGCCGCAAGGUUAAAACUCAAAUGAAUUGACGGGGGCCCGCACAAGCGGUGGAGCAUGUGGGUUUAAUUCGAUGCAACGCGAAGAAUCUUACCAUCCCUUGACAUCCAGAGAAGCGACUAGAGAUAGACGUGUGCCUUCGGGAACUCUGUGACAGGUGCUGCAUGGCUGUCGUCAGCUCGUGUU
Molecule: ribosomal RNA, 1037 nt
Filed under: Colwellia sp. NQ15
Lineage: Bacteria; Pseudomonadati; Pseudomonadota; Gammaproteobacteria; Alteromonadales; Colwelliaceae
Description: bacterial SSU rRNA
Rfam family: Bacterial small subunit ribosomal RNA
Source: RNAcentral